Dendrobium catenatum is the source of this 106-nucleotide small nucleolar RNA. Lineage: Eukaryota; Viridiplantae; Streptophyta; Magnoliopsida; Asparagales; Orchidaceae. The record is from RefSeq and is a predicted model, not a curated record.
ACGCAUGGUGAGGGCACUUUUUAAGCAUCUCCUUGAAUCUCUCCAAACUAUAAUAAAUAGAUUCUUUUUUUAACUGAGUAAAAGAAAUAAUUUCAUCUUUAAGCUU